RNAcentral lists this ribosomal RNA (250 nucleotides) under uncultured bacterium. Its description in RNAcentral is "partial 16S ribosomal RNA". It matches the Rfam family "Bacterial small subunit ribosomal RNA", at positions 524 to 773 of the family's 1533-position model. The record is from RNAcentral.
UACAGAGGCCUCAAGCGUUGUUCGGAAUUACUGGGCGUAAAGGGAAUGUAGGUGGUGACGUAAGUCAGAUGUGAAAGCCCUGGGCUCAACCCGGGAACUGCAUUUGAUACUGCGUUGCUGGAGUGCGAGAGAGGAAAGCGGAAUUCCUAGUGUAGGGGUGAAAUCCGUAGAUAUUAGGAGGAAUACCGAUGGCGAAGGCAGCUUUCUGGCUCGUAACUGACACUGAGAUUCGAAAGCAUGGGUAGCAAAC